Molecule: non-coding RNA, 104 nt
Organism: Delphinella strobiligena
Lineage: Eukaryota; Fungi; Ascomycota; Dothideomycetes; Dothideales; Dothioraceae
Source: the annotation of a GenBank genome assembly
GGCGCUGUGGUCUAGUCGCAUGAUUCCUGCUUCGGGUGAACUGAAGCUCCACACUUCGAAAGCGUGUCUGCAGGAGGUCCCGGGUUCAAAUCCCGGCAGCGCCC